CUUUUUUAUUCUAGAUGGGGCGUCUCGAAAUGUCUGUAGACUUACAGCACUGCAAGUAUGGCGUGCUUUCCAGGCAAUACUCAGUGGGCCCGCUUUCAAAUCCUAUGUAUGGGUUACAGCAAGGUGUGAUGUGACACAAUGGCUUUCCUCGAAUGUGCGGAGAAGAAUCCCCACAACUGCAUUUAUUGUCCGUCUUAUAUUUGUUUAAUCUGUAUGCCACACCAUUCUCAUCUUUGUCGUCUUUUAAACUUUCCCAAAUCAUUGAUGAAAAUCUGAAUACAAAUUCAGACAAGCCCGACUUCGAUCUUCAACUAUUAGUUCACCAAAUCGAUACUCUUCUUGUUGAUUACAACAAUCAGCUGAGAAAAAGAAAUCCCAAUAGGGAGAAAUUGGCUUCUGUGCAAGCUAAUCUAGCCUCUGCAUCGGACGCAUCUAAUUUGAGAGAACAAGCAUCAUUUUUUUUUCAAACUAAUCGAUACCCAGACGGAAUGCUCCGUAGAUCAACACCAGACAAGCAUAGCAGUGUUGAAUGGUAUUGGAAAUAUUCACUAGGCUGCAGUAAGGUUUUUAAUAGUGGCCGCAGAUGGAAGGAUUUGAAAGGGUGUACAAAGCCUCAAUGGAUGGCCGAUGGACAAGAUCUUCAACAACAUAGCAGGGUUAUAUAUUAUAUGUGUAUGAUUUUUCAUUUACAAAUAAACACCUCUGCUUUGGAAGGCAUUCAAAGCAAUCUUGUAGCUAGUCUCCAACCUCGUCCGAUCCUGCACCACGAUGCAGUUGGAAUAAAAGAGAAAUUGGAGAAGUCAUUCAACAGCUCGAUUGGAAGGAUGAUACCACAACAGCAGCAGUGAUUGUAAAUGGAAUUGGGGGAUCUGGGAAGAUUACAUUGGGGGAUGCAGUUUAUCCCUCUUUCAAAUACAAAUUUUACGGGUGGAAACAUUCUAAAAUUACUAUCAUUCAAAACCCGGAAAAAAAUCUCAAAGUUGAAGAUCUCCAAUCCUUGAUUUUGCAGGAUAUGGCUGCCAUCAAACAAAGUGGAAGAGAUUUUGAAAAUGGAUGCUAGAGUCUGAAAGACAUUGUAGAAAAAGAAUCCAUUUUCAUAUAUAUGGAUGACUCUUCGUUUCUAAAUCCGUUGAAAAAGCUUCUACCUAAGGAUGUCACAAGUGCAAAGAAACUCCAGUGGUUUUUAACAGCCAGAGAAACAAAAGUCUCUGGAAUAGUUGAAAAUUGUGGAAUUGAACCUUGUAGACUAUAUCACAUGGAGUGUGUUUCUAUUGAUGCAGCCCUUAAAGUCUUAUGCAGAAAAAUUAAUAGAAAAAGAUAAAAGGAUUCCAUAGUGCUGGAAAAGCAUCAGGUUAGAGAGAUAGCGGAGGAAUGCAAUUGCUGUCCUCUAAUUUUAGAAGUUAUCAGAGCAUAUCUGGAGAAAUGCAACUGCUGUCCUCUAUUUUUGGAAGUUAUCAAAGCUUAUCUUCAUCAACGGAAGAACAAAGUGGAUGUUUACAAAUGAGUUCUUGGGUGGCUACAAUGUGGGGAUGAUUUUGGUGGCAGUGAGAAGUACAGUUUUGAUGAGCUGAGGGUUUUCCUUUGAGGAGCUUAAACCAACGGGCAAGGAGGCAUUCUUCGACAUAUACUCAUUCUUCUUUUAUUGGGAGUGGGAGAAAGUUUGCAUGGAUUAGAGGAGAUAAAGAAAUGUAAUACCUUUAGGAAGGACCUCUUAUUCAUGAUCUUAUUGCAACAGAGCCAAAUUACAAGUGUAGAAGAUUUUUGUGUGGCCUUGAAAAAUGCAGAGGGUACCAAUGUGUACAUUUUAAUGAAAAUUGAAACAAAACCAAUAGAAAGAGUAUCUAUAUGUACCAUUAAAUUUCUGAAUAGAAAAGAUUAGAAAGAUCAGCUUGUUUCCCAAGUAAAAGGAAUGUGAAUGGCAGAUAUCAAGAACCCUUUCCUUAAAUCAGGAGAAGAGCUAGAUGCCAUGAGCUUGUCUUAACGAGCAUUUUAUGUGGGAAACAUGACUACUGUGAAAGGGAAAUACUGCAAACAAUUUGAUGGGCUAAGGUUUCUUCAUGUGGAGAGUUGCGUAACCAAUUUACCAAUCAAUAUAAUCAACCUUACACAUUUGAGAUACCUGAAGGAUAUCAUUCUACUUUGUCAUGGAAACUGGUCAACGAUUUCGUCAUAAUAAUGAAUUAUGUAAAAAGGCCCAAAAUAGAAUAACAGGGCAGUACAAAAAACAGAACAGCAAGCAACAGACGGAAAAACAGAGCAUGAAACAGGGUAUAUAGCUGAAAGGAUGCUUUAACUUGUAUUUUGUAUAAUCCAAUACGUUAUAUAUUAGUGCUUUGUGCAAUAAACAGCCACAUUAAUACA
This is an RNA transcript of Cryptomeria japonica (Japanese cedar), 2361 nucleotides long. RefSeq lists it as uncharacterized. The record is from RefSeq and is a predicted model, not a curated record. NCBI's taxonomy places the organism in Eukaryota, Viridiplantae, Streptophyta, Pinopsida, Cupressales, Cupressaceae. The transcript has 6 exons.